Molecule: ribosomal RNA, 497 nt
Filed under: uncultured bacterium
Lineage: Bacteria
Description: partial 16S ribosomal RNA
Rfam family: Bacterial small subunit ribosomal RNA
Source: RNAcentral
GACGAACGCUGGCGGCGUGCCUAAUACAUGCAAGUUGAGCGCUGAAGGUUGGUACUUGUACCAACUGGAUGAGCAGCGAACGGGUGAGUAACGCGUGGGGAAUCUGCCUUUGAGCGGGGGACAACAUUUGGAAACGAAUGCUAAUACCGCAUAAAAACUUUAAACACAAGUUUUAAGUUUGAAAGAUGCAAUUGCCUCACUCAAAGAUGAUCCCGCGUUGUAUUAGCUAGUUGGUGAGGUAAAGGCUCACCAAGGCGAUGAUACAUAGCCGACCUGAGAGGGUGGUCGGCCAAAUUGGGACUGGGACACGGCCCAAGAUCCUAAGGGAGGCAGCAGUAGGGGAUCUUCGGCAAUGGACGAAAGUCUGACCGAGCAACGCCGGGUGAGGGAAGAAAGUUUUCGGAUCGGAAAACUCGGUUGGUAGAGAAGAACGUUGGUGAGAGUGGAAAGCUCAUCAAGUGACGGUAACUACCCAAAAAGGAACGGCUAACUACGUG